GAACGCUAGCUACAGGCUUAACACAUGCAAGUCGAGGGGCAUCAGGAAGAAAGCUUGCUUUCUUUGCUGGCGACCGGCGCACGGGUGAGUAACACGUAUCCAACCUGCCCUUUACUCGGGGAUAGCCUUUCGAAAGAAAGAUUAAUACCCGAUAGCAUAAUGAUUCCGCAUGGUUUCAUUAUUAAAGGAUUCCGGUAAAGGAUGGGGAUGCGUUCCAUUAGGUUGUUGGUGGGGUAACGGCCCACCAAGCCUUCGAUGGAUAGGGGUUCUGAGAGGAAGGUCCCCCACAUUGGAACUGAGACACGGUCCAAACUCCUACGGGAGGCAGCAGUGAGGAAUAUUGGUCAAUGGGCGCUAGCCUGAACCAGCCAAGUAGCGUGAAGGAUGAAGGCUCUAUGGGUCGUAAACUUCUUUUAUAUAAGAAUAAAGUGCAGUAUGUAUACUGUUUUGUAUGUAUUAUAUGAAUAAGGAUCGGCUAACUCCGUGCCAGCAGCCGCGGUAAUACGGAGGAUCCGAGCGUUAUCCGGAUUUAUUGGGUUUAAAGGGAGCGUAGGUGGACUGGUAAGUCAGUUGUGAAAGUUUGCGGCUCAACCGUAAAAUUGCAGUUGAUACUGUCAGUCUUGAGUACAGUAGAGGUGGGCGGAAUUCGUGGUGUAGCGGUGAAAUGCUUAGAUAUCACGAAGAACUCCGAUUGCGAAGGCAGCUCACUGGACUGCAACUGACACUGAUGCUCGAAAGUGUGGGUAUCAAACAGGAUUAGAUACCCUGGUAGUCCACACAGUAAACGAUGAAUACUCGCUGUUUGCGAUAUACAGUAAGCGGCCAAGCGAAAGCAUUAAGUAUUCCACCUGGGGAGUACGCCGGCAACGGUGAAACUCAAAGGAAUUGACGGGGGCCCGCACAAGCGGAGGAACAUGUGGUUUAAUUCGAUGAUACGCGAGGAACCUUACCCGGGCUUAAAUUGCAGUGGAAUGAUGUGGAAACAUGUCAGUGAGCAAUCACCGCUGUGAAGGUGCUGCAUGGUUGUCGUCAGCUCGUGCCGUGAGGUGUCGGCUUAAGUGCCAUAACGAGCGCAACCCUUAUCUUUAGUUACUAACAGGUCAUGCUGAGGACUCUAGAGAGACUGCCGUCGUAAGAUGUGAGGAAGGUGGGGAUGACGUCAAAUCAGCACGGCCCUUACGUCCGGGGCUACACACGUGUUACAAUGGGGGGUACAGAAGGCAGCUAGCGGGUGACCGUAUGCUAAUCCCAAAAGCCUCUCUCAGUUCGGAUCGAAGUCUGCAACCCGACUUCGUGAAGCUGGAUUCGCUAGUAAUCGCGCAUCAGCCACGGCGCGGUGAAUACGUUCCCGGGCCUUGUACACACCGCCCGUCAAGCCAUGGGAGCCGGGGGUACCUGAAGUACGUAACCGCAAGGAUCGUCCUAGGGUAAAACUA
Molecule: ribosomal RNA, 1436 nt
Filed under: uncultured organism
Description: SSU rRNA
Rfam family: Bacterial small subunit ribosomal RNA
Source: RNAcentral